UUCACGCAUUUCAUUUGCAUUCUUUUAUGUGUGAUUCAUCACAGCUUCACAGGAUUAUUAAAUUGCUUCUCUACACCUGCAGCCAUGUAAAGAUAUAGCAGGGAAUUAGAUUUGCGCAUUUGUGGGUAGAUUUUUGGGUAUCUAAACUGAGCAUGGAGAUAGAGUGCAAAGCUAAAGAAAGCGAUCAGGAUAUUUUAUUUAUUUAUUUAUUUACUGAGUCAAAUGUUAUGUAGAAGCUCCUGUUCAGAAUCGUGGGACUUUCUUCUGUCUAACUAGAUUCUUAUAGUAACUUCUGGCUGGUCGAAUUCUAAAGCUUCUCCCUUUAUAGAUCCAAUAAAUAGAUAGAGUCAACAGGAAGCAAUUUGGGUUCAAGCUUAUAACUCACACAGAAAGGCUCCGAUGAGCUGUUGACACACACCACCUGUCUAAUCAGCAUCAUGCCAAGGGAGCCGCAGCAGAGGGAUGAAAGAGCCACUCGCGGCACCGGAGCCGCGGGUUGCCGACCCCUGUACUAUGGGACAUAUAGACAGAAUCCUGAGGACAUAUUUGACAUGUACUGUAUGGGGACUGAUACCUGGACAGCAUAUAGAGUAAUUGCUAAAAACCUCUGCUUAAAAUAUGAAUAAGCUCAAAAUCUCUCGGUUCAUCGAAGACCCUUACAAUGAACUCUGUAUCUGCAACACCACUGGCAUUCUGGGUGACUGCAUCCAUCCCUGUCAUCUCCCAGCCAUCUGGCAGAUGGUACAGUAGCAUCCUGGCUAUUCGUGUCACACUCAGUAACAGCUUCUUCCCAAAGGCAAUCAGGCUCCUCAACAGUCGGAUUCCCUCAAACCCAAGUCAAGUGAACCGAGCUGAGCUGAGCGGAGCCGAGCAUAACAAAAACCCCUUGGUUGUGGAGAACCUGGAACCUUUCCCAGAAGACUCAAACCCAGAAGACACUCAGAGGGACACAAACACACACACACACACACACACACACACACACACACACACACACACACACACACACACACACACACACACACACACCUAUUCGCACACUAUAGACAAUUUAGAGAUGCCAGUAAGCCAACAACACAUGUCUGUGGAGUGCAGUGGUUUCUGCCGUGUAGGUUGGUGCUCUAGAAAGGAUGACAUAACGGAGCUGCUGUAACUGAUAAUUAAUCAACACCUACUGACCAAUCAGAAUUUGGAAGAGCCGUGAUAUAAUAAGUGCUAUAUUGAAUGUAUUAUUUUUGUACACGAGUGGAGAUAGAUUAGCCGCACGCUCUAAUUGGAAUUCAUUUAGCAUCCAGGUGUAAGUGCUUUAGUCAAACACAGAAAGCAUACAAGAUAAAAUCUAAUCUAUGCAGAUUUAUUGGUCUUGCUUAAGGGCCCAACUGUAGCUUUGUGUCACACUGGGAUUUGAACACACAACCUUCCGGGCCUGAGGCGGCAUAAUCUUUUCUAUCACACUUUCUAAUUCUCAUUAAUAUUCAUCAUUACUUCAUUUUUGUGAGCUUCGAAUGCAGACAAACACAAAUGAUAACUAUGAUUAAUACUUUUCUGCUGCUGCUCAUUAUACAGCUUCCAAUUCUAAAUAUUUGUUUCGGCCAAAAUUCAGCCGGACAGUUGUCAAAAUGAACACUCGUGUAAUUUAUCAAACAGAGAAAAAAAAAAGCCAAAAAAAAAAAAAACCCUGCAGCGCUGCAUUAAGAUCACGUUGACUAUUAAAACGUGCCUUCCAAUAUUCUCUGACUGAGAAGAGAGAACAAAUUGCUGUGCAAGAAGGGCAAGAAAGCAAAGGUCCAUGUGUGUGUUCAGAGGAAUAAAUACAACACUGUAACUAAAAAGGUGAACAAACCAAUCAAAGACUGCCAUUUCCCAUAUAUAUCAACUCUUAUGGCACAGAGUUAUUGAAUUAUCGAUUCUGAUUGGUCAGAUGGUGUUGAUUAAUUUACUAUAACAGCAGCCCUGACAGUUGUUCUGACCACAAGGUAAA
This is a long non-coding RNA of Tachysurus fulvidraco (yellow catfish), 1981 nucleotides long. RefSeq lists it as uncharacterized. The record is from RefSeq and is a predicted model, not a curated record. NCBI's taxonomy places the organism in Eukaryota, Metazoa, Chordata, Actinopteri, Siluriformes, Bagridae. The transcript has 4 exons.